ACGGGAGGCAGCAGUGAGGAAUAUUGGUCAAUGGGCGGGAGCCUGAACCAGCCAAGUAGCGUGGAGGAUGACGGCCCUACGGGUUGUAAACUCCUUUUGCCGGGGGAUAAAAAACGGGACGUGUCCCGUCUUGCAGGUACCCGCGCGAAUAAGGACCGGCUAAUUCCGUGCCAGCAGCCGCGGUAAUACGGAAGGUCCGAGCGUUAUCCGGAUUUAUUGGGUUUAAAGGGAGCGCAGGCGGAGAGGCAAGCCAGCCGUAAAAUCGUUGAGCUCAACUCAAUCUCGCGGUUGGAACUGCUUCCCUUGAGUGCACGAGAGGAUGGUGGAAUUCGUGGUGUAGCGGUGAAAUGCGUAGAUAUUAGGAGGAACACCAGUGGCGAAGGCGGCUUACUGGACUGUAACUGACGUUGAGGCUCGAAAGCGUGGGGAGCAAACAGGAUUAGAUACCCUGGUA
This 454-nucleotide ribosomal RNA is filed under the name uncultured bacterium. RNAcentral describes it as "partial 16S ribosomal RNA". It matches the Rfam family "Bacterial small subunit ribosomal RNA", at positions 341 to 792 of the family's 1533-position model. The record is from RNAcentral.